RNAcentral lists this ribosomal RNA (253 nucleotides) under uncultured bacterium. RNAcentral describes it as "partial 16S ribosomal RNA". It matches the Rfam family "Bacterial small subunit ribosomal RNA", at positions 524 to 776 of the family's 1533-position model. The record is from RNAcentral.
GACGAAGGGGGCUAGCGUUGUUCGGAAUUACUGGGCGUAAAGCGUGUGUAGGUGGUUGCCAUAGUCAGGUGUGAAAGCCUUGAGCUCAACUCAAGAAAUGCGCUUGAUACUGGGUAGCUAGAGGACCGGAGAGGAUAGUGGAAUUCCCAGUGUAGUGGUGAAAUACGUAGAGAUUGGGAAGAACACCAGCGGCGAAGGCGGCUAUCUGGACGGUUUCUGACACUAAGACACGAAAGCGUGGGGAGCAAACAGG